UCCUCCUUGUCACUUGUCCACUCGCUGUAGGCAAUCCAUUGAUUGCUCUUUCGCAGGAAUCGAGGCGGCGAUAAGCGCUUUUGUUUAUCCCACCAAGCCAGGUAUGCUAUCCGCUACAACUGUUCUCCCCCCACCCCCUACCCGUCACCAGGCACUAGUGUUUCUCGGCUGAAGCUUGCCGGUGAUGUGCGCGUUGAAGAGCUACGUAGUUUGCUGUUGAAUCUGAAAGUGGAUGGAAGAGAAAUUGUUGAGUGAUAACAAAUCUUAUAGUUAUUUUGUGGUUUUGAUCCAAGUGAUACUGUUCACCAACCUGCACCUUAACAACCUACUUUGUGGGGCUGAUUGAAACCCGACUUCAACAUUGCGUGCUUCAACAGCGUUCAAUAUAGCUUUUUAUAUUUUGAUGAUCCAGCUUUGUCAGCAUAGUGUUUUGUAAGGGGUUACCUGAAUCAUUGGAAGAUAUUAUGCCUUUUUCGAUUAUAACGACGCAUGGCCCAAAGGCUUUUCUGAACUUACACUAGUGCCAGAUGGUUGGAUCCAGAGUACCAGUGCUGGGAAAAGUUAUGUGUAUUGGCCCAAAGGAGACAUAGCUAAGCUGAUCAAAGUUGAAACAAGUACUCCUUCAUCUGGAUGGACGAGACAAGCGUGUGUAGUUCAAAAAUCAAAUAUUUUAUCUUUACAACAAGGUAUAGCUAUACUUAGCGAUAUGUCAGGAGAAUCGAGUGAUGAUUCUUGUAUCAUACAAUCCGUAAAAACUAUGUAUAGGCAGCGAUUUGGCCAGAGAGCAUUAGAAAAUGCUAACAAAGUUAACGCCUUGUCUGAAAAUUGUAUACAGUUAGAAACAGGCACUUUAGCUACAGGUUGCUCACAAUUCAAGACAGACACUUUAGCUAAAGGUGGUUCACAGUUAGAGAGAGACAUUUUACCGUAUGGUUGUGCACAAUUAGAUACAAAUACUUCACCCAAAGGUUGUUCACAGUUAGAAACAGACACUACGAAUGAAUUCAUGGAAUCAGCACAGCCGAGUGUUGCACCAGAAACGACUAGAAAGGAUUUUCCUUCAGUUCCUUCUCAAUUAGAGCAAAGUAAUAGCUUUUCUCCUACAAAUCACAUGGAAAAUGCAAUCACAAGUUUGAUCGCUGUUGUAGGUGGUUUAAUUCAACAAAUCAGCGACAUAAAUUCCAACAAACUGAUAGGAUUAGAUAAAAUUAAUAAUUUAACAAAAGUACUAGAGCAGCAGAUCGUACCAACGUUAGGUGCUCUUGUAGAGGAAUUUAAAGAGUUAAAAAAAAAGUUAAUUUAAAUACGGUACAAAUGGAUCUGUUCAUUAACAGUUUGGAGCAAGAAAACAGAAAAAGAAAAAAACCAUCAUUUUCAAUGGAUCCGAUCGAUAACCAUAAAGAUUUAAAGGAUUUUGACAAAAGUCUUGAGGAAGACGAUUUUAAAACAUCUGUUAUUGAUUGGCUUACCCAUAACAUAUGUGAAACAAACAGUAAUAAUAGAAUGUUAGAUGCUUUGGAUAUGUUACUGAAUCGUUCAUUUUGUACGCAAAUUAGUUGGUCAGGACAAGGCAAAGAAAACUCGAAAAUACCGAUAAAAAUGUUUCCUAAUUUCUUAGAAGUUUUUAGAGAGAUAGGUACAACCCAUUUGACUUUGGUAACAGAUCAAUGCUUGAAAGAUUUUUUCAUAAAAAAAUUAAAGCAUAGCCAGGAAAGAUGCAUGAUUCAAGGGUUACGAAAACCUACUUCUCACAACAAAAGAUGUUGAUGUUAAGAAGUUUUUGAAUACAUUUAUUAAUUAAUAAUAAAAAGAUUAAAAACUUG
Molecule: long non-coding RNA, 1823 nt
Organism: Anopheles coluzzii
Lineage: Eukaryota; Metazoa; Arthropoda; Insecta; Diptera; Culicidae
Exons: 3
Source: RefSeq, a predicted model, not a curated record